AUCCCCAAGCAUGCCUGGGAAUGACACAUGCUUUCCCUAACACCUCUGAUAUACCUCACUCGCAGGUACUCCUCACUCAUAAGAUAGGUGCUCCUCACUCACAGGUGCUUCUUGCAGGUGCUCCUCACUCAUAGAUGCUCCUCACUCAUAGGUGCUCCUCACUCAUAGGAUAGGUGCUCCUCACUCACAGGUGCUCCACAUAGGAUAGGUGGUCCUCACAGG
RNAcentral lists this long non-coding RNA (222 nucleotides) under Homo sapiens (human). RNAcentral describes it as "HSALNT0155056". Lineage: Eukaryota; Metazoa; Chordata; Mammalia; Primates; Hominidae. The record is from RNAcentral.